This 647-nucleotide ribosomal RNA is filed under the name uncultured rumen bacterium. RNAcentral describes it as "bacterial SSU rRNA". It matches the Rfam family "Bacterial small subunit ribosomal RNA", at positions 119 to 743 of the family's 1533-position model. The record is from RNAcentral.
AGGCAACCUGCCCCCCGGCCGGGGACAACACGCCGAAAGGUGUGCUAAUACCGGAUACGAAGACGGCAUCGCAUGGUGCCGUUUUGAAAGAUGGCCUCUGUUUAUAAGCUAUCGCCGGGGGAUGGGCCUGCGUCCGAUUAGCUGGUUGGUGGGGUAACGGCCCACCAAGGCGACGAUCGGUAGCCGGUCUGAGAGGAUGAACGGCCACAUUGGGACUGAGACACGGCCCAGACUCCUACGGGAGGCAGCAGUGGGGAAUCUUCCGCAAUGGGCGCAAGCCUGACGGAGCAACGCCGCGUGGGUGAGGAAGUUUUUCGGAACGUAAAGCCCUGUUGUACCCGACGAAUGUAUAUGCUAUGAACAACGGGAUAUAAUGACGGUAGGGUACGAGGAAGCCACGGCUAACUACGUGCCAGCAGCCGCGGUAAUACGUAGGUGGCAAGCGUUGUCCGGAAUUAUUGGGCGUAAAGCGCAUGUAGGCGGUGCCUUAAGUCUGUCGUGAAACUGCGGGGCUUACCCCCGUAUGGCGAUGGAAACUGUGGCACUUGGGUGCAGGAGAGGAAAGGGGAACUCCCAGUGUAGCGGUGAAAUGCGUAGAUAUUGGGAAGAACACCGGUGGCGAAGGCGCCUUUCUGGACUGUGUCUGA